UUGCUUCUCUUGAGAGCGGCGGACGGGUGAGUAAUGCCUAGGAAUCUGCCUAGUGGUGGGGGAUAACGUUCGGAAACGGACGCUAAUACCGCAUACGUCCUACGGGAGAAAGCGGGGGAUCUUCGGACCUCGCGCCAUUAGAUGAGCCUAGGUCGGAUUAGCUAGUUGGUGAGGUAAUGGCUCACCAAGGCGACGAUCCGUAACUGGUCUGAGAGGAUGAUCAGUCACACUGGAACUGAGACACGGUCCAGACUCCUACGGGAGGCAGCAGUGGGGAAUAUUGGACAAUGGGCGAAAGCCUGAUCCAGCCAUGCCGCGUGUGUGAAGAAGGUCUUCGGAUUGUAAAGCACUUUAAGUUGGGAGGAAGGGUAGUAACCUAAUACGUUGCUACUUUGACGUUACCGACAGAAUAAGCACCGGCUAACUUCGUGCCAGCAGCCGCGGUAAUACGAAGGGUGCAAGCGUUAAUCGGAAUUACUGGGCGUAGAGCGCGCGUAGGUGGUUCAGUAAGUUGGAAGUGAAAUCCCCGGGCUCAACCUGGGAACUGCUUUCAAAACUGCUGAGCUAGAGUACGGUAGAGGGUGGUGGAAUUUCCUGUGUAGCGGUGAAAUGCGUAGAUAUAGGAAGGAACACCAGUGGCGAAGGCGACCACCUGGACUGAUACUGACACUGAGGUGCGAAAGCGUGGGGAGCAAACAGGAUUAGAUACCCUGGUAGUCCACGCCGUAAACGAUGUCAACUAGCCGUUGGAAUCCUUGAGAUUUUAGUGGCGCAGCUAACGCAUUAAGUUGACCGCCUGG
This 800-nucleotide ribosomal RNA is filed under the name uncultured bacterium. Its description in RNAcentral is "bacterial SSU rRNA". It matches the Rfam family "Bacterial small subunit ribosomal RNA", at positions 80 to 876 of the family's 1533-position model. The record is from RNAcentral.